GUACUUACCUGGCAGGGGAAACAGCACGAUCAUGAAGGUGACUUCCUCUGGGCGAGGCUUAUCCAGUGCACUGUAGACAGGCUGACCUCUAUGAUUCCCUCAAAUGUGGGAAACCCAACUGCAUAAUUUGUGGUAGUGGGAGACUGCGUUCACACUUUCUCCUG
Molecule: small nuclear RNA, 164 nt
Organism: Octodon degus (degu)
Lineage: Eukaryota; Metazoa; Chordata; Mammalia; Rodentia; Octodontidae
Gene: U1
Rfam family: U1 spliceosomal RNA
About the family: U1 is a small nuclear RNA (snRNA) component of the spliceosome (involved in pre-mRNA splicing).
Source: Ensembl